ACGGCAAUAUAAAGUGGAAACAUUGGUUCUCAUACGAUCACCGAAGUUAAGCAACAUCGAGACUGGUUAGUAAUCAGAUGGAUGACCUCUUGAGAAUAUCAGGUGCUGUAAG
Non-coding RNA from Acanthosepion pharaonis, 112 nucleotides. Lineage: Eukaryota; Metazoa; Mollusca; Cephalopoda; Sepiida; Sepiidae. The record is from the annotation of a GenBank genome assembly.